UACGUAGGCAGCGAGCGUUGUUCGGAAUUACUGGGCGUAAAGAGUGUGUAGGCGGUGCUCUAAGUUCGGUGUGAAAUCUCCCGGCUUAACUGGGAGGGUGCGCCGGAAACUGGAGUGCUCGAGCGUGGGAGAGGAAAGCGGAAUUCCUGGUGUAGCGGUGAAAUGCGUAGAGAUGACAUAGAACACCCAUUGCGAAGGCAGCUUACUACGGAUUGAUUGACACUGAGGCACGAAAGCGUGGGGAUCAAACAGG
Molecule: ribosomal RNA, 253 nt
Filed under: uncultured bacterium
Lineage: Bacteria
Description: partial 16S ribosomal RNA
Rfam family: Bacterial small subunit ribosomal RNA
Source: RNAcentral